CUCGCUAGGCUGUCAGCUAAGUGGCGCACGGGUGAGUAAUGUAUAGUUGAUCUGCCCCUUGGAGGGGGAUAGCCAUUGGAAACGAUGAUUAAUACCCCAUACUCCUAUAUGCGUAAGGUAUAUAGGGAAAUGUCUUUUCGCCAAGGGAUGAGACUAUAUGGCAUCAGGUAGUUGGUAGGGUAAUGGCCUACCAAGCCAAUGACGCCUAGCUGGUCUGAGAGGAUGAUCAGCCACACUGGUACUGAGACACGGACCAGACUCCUACGGGAGGCAGCAGUGGGGAAUAUUGCACAAUGGAGGAAACUCUGAUGCAGCAACGCCGCGUGGAGGAUGACGCAUUUCGGUGUGUAAACUCCUUUUAACUAGGAAGAUAAUGACGGUACUAGUUGAAUAAGCACCGGCUAACUCCGUGC
RNAcentral lists this ribosomal RNA (413 nucleotides) under uncultured bacterium. Its description in RNAcentral is "bacterial SSU rRNA". It matches the Rfam family "Bacterial small subunit ribosomal RNA", at positions 77 to 508 of the family's 1533-position model. The record is from RNAcentral.